GCGGCAGGCCUAAUACAUGCAAGUCGAACGGGAUUCAAAGUAGCAAUAUUUUGAUGAGAGUGGCGCACGGUGAGUAACACGUAUGCUAAUUUACCUUUAACUGGGGAUAGCCCUCCGAAAGGAGGAUUAAUACCGCAUAAUAUAUUGAAAUGGCAUCAUUUUUAAAUAUUAAACCUACGGGGGUUAAAGAUGAGCAUGCAUCCGAUUAGCUAGUUGGUGUGGUAACGGCUCACCAAGGCAACGAUCGGUAGGGGUCUGAGAGGAUGAUCCCCCACACUGGUACUGAGACACGGACCAGACUCCUACGGGAGGCAGCAGUAAGGAAUAUUGGACAAUGGAGGCAACUCUGAUCCAGCCAUGCCGCGUGAAGGAUUAAGGCCCUAUGGGUUGUAAACUUCUUUUAGACGGGACAAAACCCCUUUACGUGUAAAGGGUUGAUGGUACUGUCAGAAUAAGCAUCGGCUAACUUCGUG
This 473-nucleotide ribosomal RNA is filed under the name uncultured bacterium. RNAcentral describes it as "bacterial SSU rRNA". It matches the Rfam family "Bacterial small subunit ribosomal RNA", at positions 39 to 507 of the family's 1533-position model. The record is from RNAcentral.